This is a non-coding RNA of Mycena olivaceomarginata, 91 nucleotides long. The record is from the annotation of a GenBank genome assembly. Lineage: Eukaryota; Fungi; Basidiomycota; Agaricomycetes; Agaricales; Mycenaceae.
GGCGUCAUAGCUCAGCUGGGAGAGCAGCAGACUGAAGAAAUCACGUGACUUUGGGAUCUGAAGGUCCCGUGUUCAAUCCACGGUGAUGCCA